Molecule: long non-coding RNA, 415 nt
Organism: Eriocheir sinensis (Chinese mitten crab)
Lineage: Eukaryota; Metazoa; Arthropoda; Malacostraca; Decapoda; Varunidae
Exons: 4
Source: RefSeq, a predicted model, not a curated record
CGAGUCUACCAUUGACAGGCGAGUGAGUGUGGUCAUGGCGCCGUGUUAUUUAAGCCGAAUUUAAGUGUUUUGAGAAGGUCGUGCGGGUCACUUCAUCAGCCGGCAGACCUGGCAUGAUGUUUGGAAUGGUCAUGGUGCUCUACUACUAUUCUCCUCUGAGCUUAAUGUGUCUUAACACGUUGCCUGCGGCUGGCAGUGUGGCGAACUCUCCAGUACUGCGAUCCAAACACUUUGCCCACACUUCAGUGCGGCUCAACCCAGUGGAGCGAGUGGAGAUGGAGAAUAUAAAUGUUGCAAGCUUUUAUGGUCAUCCUAGUUCAACAGAAAAGAGAGAAGACAGCCCAAAUGAAGACUCUGCUGAUCCACGUUAUGAAACAGAGUCUUCUUGCUCCUCUGAUAGCCAAUCACUUGAUAU